CUAGGAGGCAACAUCUUAAAUCCAUCUGACAUCUUAACAGAGAAUCUUAUAGCUGUAAAUGAAUUAGUCACUACUGACAUUCUAUCUGGAAAUCUCCUUAUUCCAGCCCACAGAUAGAGAGAGACAGAAUGUGAGCAUGGGAAGGGCAGAGAGAGAGGGAGACAUAGAAUCCAAAG
Molecule: long non-coding RNA, 176 nt
Organism: Felis catus (domestic cat)
Lineage: Eukaryota; Metazoa; Chordata; Mammalia; Carnivora; Felidae
Exons: 3
Source: RefSeq, a predicted model, not a curated record